UUCACUCCCUGUCAACAUCGGUCUACCGAGCAAUAUCGCCUGCUCGGUGGAAGAUCUUCCCUCCGUCGU
RNAcentral lists this microRNA precursor (69 nucleotides) under Bombyx mori (domestic silkworm). RNAcentral's name for it is "mir-2774 microRNA precursor family". It matches the Rfam family "mir-2774 microRNA precursor family". The record is from Rfam by way of RNAcentral. Lineage: Eukaryota; Metazoa; Arthropoda; Insecta; Lepidoptera; Bombycidae.